CAAAGUGCUGUUCGUGCAGGUAGUGUGAUUACCGACCUACUGCUGAGCUAGCACUUCCCGA
Molecule: microRNA precursor, 61 nt
Filed under: Echinops telfairi (small Madagascar hedgehog)
Lineage: Eukaryota; Metazoa; Chordata; Mammalia; Afrosoricida; Tenrecidae
Description: Ete-Mir-17-P4d_pre stem-loop
Rfam family: mir-17 microRNA precursor family
About the family: This family represents the microRNA (miRNA) precursor mir-17, family, which includes mir-20, mir-91, and mir-103. miRNAs are transcribed as ~70nt precursors (modelled here) and subsequently processed by the Dicer enzyme to give a ~22nt product. In this case the mature sequence comes from the 3' arm of the precursor.
Source: RNAcentral